Zootoca vivipara (common lizard) is the source of this 1005-nucleotide non-coding RNA. NCBI's taxonomy places the organism in Eukaryota, Metazoa, Chordata, Lepidosauria, Squamata, Lacertidae. The record is from RefSeq and is a predicted model, not a curated record.
UAACAGCUACUGCUUACCGGGACUGUUGCUAAAUAAAUAAAAUAAGUGGUGUGAGCUAGUUGCACAUUAGCAAGGCCAAGAAGGGGGGGGGGGGAGGUCUUGUUGUGAAGUGAAGCUGGUCCAAUUAUCUAGCUUUGAAGAUAGCAUGGAAAAGAACUUGUACAAGGGCCACUUCACAUGUUAAAUUUUCUACUGGUAGGAAGAUACACACACAUUUACAGCAGCACAAAUAUGUCCCCUGGCAACUUCUGAAAGUUUUGCUGGCCAUAAGAAGUUACUCUGCUAAUGCGUAGGAGGAGAAUCUAGUCCACUCCAGGAUUCCAUCCAUCAAUACAAAUUUUAUAUAAACAUAAUACCCAAGGACCGCUGAUGGUUUACUGAAUAAUUGUAAGACUAGUUUUUUACCUCCAGGACAACCAAUUGCAUCAAGCAAACAGCUCAGUCUUUGAGCCACUCUCCGUAGUAUGUGCUCCACUUAAGGUUUUCAUACCCAACAUCAAAUCCUGUGUAUAUGACUCAACAGAUUUUAUCAACAAGCUGAUGACCAUUAAUGGUGAACAGGGAAAAGGAUAUUCUGGAAACCUUUGAAGUGAGAUCUUUAUAGAGCAGCACUCUUCCACAAGCAGCAGCCUUGGAAGCAACGGAGAACAGCCUUGAAAACAGUCAGGAGAAUUGGCAAUGGCGCCCACCUGAGAGGUGCAGGAAUUGGGUUCUGGUGAGUUCCGGCUGAAAAUAAGCCCUGCUUCUAUUCUAUAUAAACAAGCUUGAAAUGAAGCAUAUUGGUUUUCCUGCUAAUCUACACCAGCUUUUGCCAACCUGAUGGCCUCUAGAUGUUUUGCCCUAUGACUUCCAUCAGCCUCAAUCAGCACCAAGUCCCUCAAUUCUCUGGUGGCAAUACAGGCAUUGACACAGAAGCCGAGCAGCUCACCUUUCCUGCAGCACAUCUUCUCUCAAGAGGAGGCCCUUGAUGUCCGAAGGCCAGGGAUGACACUCUGGGUUCAGCAC